UUGAUUAUGGCUCAGGAUGAACGCUAGCGGGAGGCCUAACACAUGCAAGCCGAGCGGUAGAGAUUCUUCGGAAUCUUGAGAGCGGCGUACGGGUGCGGAACACGUGUGCAACCUGCCUUUAUCAGGGAGAUAGCCUUUCGAAAGGAAGAUUAAUACCCCAUAAUAUAUUAAGUGGCAUCACUUGAUAUUGAAAACUACGGUGGAUAGAGAUGGGCACGCGCAAGAUUAGAUAGUUGGUGAGGUAACGGCUCACCAAGUCUACGAUCUUUAGGGGGCCUGAGAGGGUGAUCCCCCACACUGGUACUGAGACACGGACCAGACUCCUACGGGAGGCAGCAGUGAGGAAUAUUGGACAAUGGGUGAAAGCCUGAUCCAGCCAUCCCGCGUGAAGGACGACGGCCCUAUGGGUUGUAAACUUCUUUUGUAUAGGGAUAAACCUAGAUACGUGUAUCUAGCUGAAGGUACUAUACGAAUAAGCACCGGCUAACUCCGUGCCAGCAGCCGCGGUAAUACGGAGGGUGCAAGCGUUAUCCGGAUUUAUUGGGUUUAAAGGGUCCGUAGGCGGAUCUGUAAGUCAGUGGUGAAAUCUCACAGCUUAACUGUGAAACUGCCAUUGAUACUGCAGGUCUUGAGUGUUGUUGAAGUAGCUGGAAUAAGUAGUGUAGCGGUGAAAUGCAUAGAUAUUACUUAGAACACCAAUUGCGAAGGCAGGUUACUAAGCAACAACUGACGCUGAUGGACGAAAGCGUGGGGAGCGAAC
Molecule: ribosomal RNA, 760 nt
Filed under: Chryseobacterium sp. CI57
Lineage: Bacteria; Pseudomonadati; Bacteroidota; Flavobacteriia; Flavobacteriales; Weeksellaceae
Description: bacterial SSU rRNA
Rfam family: Bacterial small subunit ribosomal RNA
Source: RNAcentral